CUCUCCCCUACCACCUGCCUCU
This 22-nucleotide microRNA is filed under the name Mus musculus (house mouse). RNAcentral describes it as "mmu-miR-1894-5p". The record is from miRBase by way of RNAcentral. Lineage: Eukaryota; Metazoa; Chordata; Mammalia; Rodentia; Muridae.